This 477-nucleotide ribosomal RNA is filed under the name uncultured soil bacterium. RNAcentral's name for it is "bacterial SSU rRNA". It matches the Rfam family "Bacterial small subunit ribosomal RNA", at positions 26 to 518 of the family's 1533-position model. The record is from RNAcentral.
AGGACGAACGCUGGCGGCGUGCUUAACACAUGCAAGUCGAGCGGUAAGGCCCUUUCGGGGGUACACGAGCGGCGAACGGGUGAGUAACACGUGAGCAAUCUGCCCUUCACUUCGGGAUAAGCCUCGGAAACGGGGUCUAAUACCGGAUAUGGCUGCGCCAUGCAUGUGGUGUGGUGGAAAGUUCUGGCGGUGAGGGAUGAGCUCGCGGCCUAUCAGCUUGUUGGUGGGGUAAUGGCCUACCAAGGCUUCGACGGGUAGCCGGCCUGAGAGGGUGACCGGCCACACUGGGACUGAGACACGGCCCAGACUCCUACGGGAGGCAGCAGUGGGGAAUAUUGGACAAUGGGCGAAAGCCUGAUCCAGCAACGCCGCGUGAGGGAUGACGGCCUUCGGGUUGUAAACCUCUUUCAGCGCCGACGAAGCGAGAGUGACGGUAGGCGCAGAAGAAGCACCGGCCAACUACGUGCCAGCAGCCGC